Molecule: ribosomal RNA, 253 nt
Filed under: uncultured bacterium
Lineage: Bacteria
Description: partial 16S ribosomal RNA
Rfam family: Bacterial small subunit ribosomal RNA
Source: RNAcentral
UACAGAGGUCCCAAGCGUUGUUCGGAUUCACUGGGCGUAAAGGGUGCGUAGGCGGUCGGGCAAGUUUGAUGUGAAAUCUCCAAGCUUAACUUGGAAAUGGCAUUGGAUACUGCUCGGCUAGAGGAUUGGAGGGGAGACUGGAAUGCUCGGUGUAGCAGUGAAAUGCGUAGAUAUCGAGCGGAACACCAGUGGCGAAGGCGAGUCUCUGGACAAUUCCUGACGCUGAGGCACGAAAGCCAGGGGAGCAAACGGG